This 73-nucleotide transfer RNA is filed under the name Canis lupus familiaris (dog). It matches the Rfam family "tRNA". Rfam says of the family: Transfer RNA (tRNA) molecules are approximately 80 nucleotides in length. Their secondary structure includes four short double-helical elements and three loops (D, anti-codon, and T loops). The record is from Rfam by way of RNAcentral. RNAcentral also lists the same sequence under 1 other name. Lineage: Eukaryota; Metazoa; Chordata; Mammalia; Carnivora; Canidae.
GCCUGGCUGGCCCAGUUGGAAGGGCAUGUGACUCUUGAUCUCGGGGUCAUGAGUUCGAGUCUCACAUUAGGUA